CAUGCUAAGGCCAACAACGUAAACCGAUACCACCAUCAUACGGCAAAUGCUCGAUCAGCUACUUUGAAGUGACGCAGCUGUCCACAGGUGACAACUGUAAGUUUCAAGGUCAAGGGAGUUAGUGAUAUUCAGCCGCAGUCGCCGAGCAAUUCAG
Long non-coding RNA from Rhagoletis zephyria (snowberry fruit fly), 154 nucleotides. RefSeq lists it as uncharacterized. Lineage: Eukaryota; Metazoa; Arthropoda; Insecta; Diptera; Tephritidae. The record is from RefSeq and is a predicted model, not a curated record.